Coffea arabica (coffee) is the source of this 2593-nucleotide RNA transcript. It is a transcript of the gene named putative late blight resistance protein homolog R1B-16, with no coding region annotated. The record is from RefSeq and is a predicted model, not a curated record. NCBI's taxonomy places the organism in Eukaryota, Viridiplantae, Streptophyta, Magnoliopsida, Gentianales, Rubiaceae.
AGACCGAUGUGGAACGUUCCGGGCUGCGACCAUGACCGCGACCACGACUUUAAACCAUGGGUAGAAGUGAUAAUCAAUCAACUUAAAGGAGGAUCAAUGCAGUUGGACAUGCUUUCCAUUGUGGGGAUGCCUGGGAUAGGUAAGACAACUCUGGCACAAAAGGUUUACCAUGAUCCUUCAGUUACAUCUCACUUCCAUGUUCGUGCUUGGUGUUGUAUCUCUCAAACAUAUAACAAGCGAGAUCUGUUGUCUGAGAUUUUGGCUUGCAUUGAUCAGAAAGCUCAAUUUUCUGAGACGAAGGAAGAUGAUGAUUUGCCUGAUAUAAUCCGUAAAAACCUGAAGGGAAAGAAAUAUCUCAUAUUUCUGGAUGAUGUAUGGGAUAUUGAGGCAUGGCAUACUUUGAAAAUAUCGUUUCCUGAUGAUGCCAAUGGAAGCAGAAUUCUCUUAACAAGUCGGGAUCAUGAGAUUACUGGAAAUCGUCAUGUUGUUCAGCUACUUACUGAUGACGAAAGCUGGGAAUUACUACAGACAAAUGUGGCAAAUGCUAGAGUAGAAGUCUACCCUCCAGAACUGAAUGUUCUUGGGAGGAAAAUAGCAAGAAACUGUAAGGGGCUGCCUUUAUCAAUUGUCAUCAUAUCUGGAAUUCUUGCUACUCUAGAUCAAGCUGGUUGGGUGGAAGUCUUGAAUAGCCUAAGUUCAAACAUAGUUUGUGACACGGAUCAAUGCAAGAGUAUACUGGAAUUGAGUUACAUACAUCUACCUGAUCAUUUAAAGCCAUGCCUCCUCUACUUUGGAGCAUUUAGAGAAGAUCAAGCAAUUCCUACCCAGAGGUUGAAGUGGUUAUGGAUCGCUGAAGGAUUUGUUCAGAAGAAUGAGUCAAAAAGCCCAGAAGAAAUUGUAGAAGGCUAUAUAACGAGUCUAAUUAAGAGAAGCUUGGUUACAGUGGGGAAACAGAGAUCUUUAGGCGGGGUCAAGACCUGCCACAUUCAUGAUUUGUUGCAUGUGUUUUGCAAGGGAAAAGCCAAAGAUAUAAAUUUUCUACAACUGUCUAAGGAGGCGUUUGAUGGGCCACACCACCUACGUCGGUUAUCAUACGGCUCUGAUCUCAAGUAUAUUGCAAAAUCAAGGAUAUUUUUUACCCGUAUACGCUCUCUGCUGCUGCGGUGUAAUUACUUCAGCAGUAAAGACACGGACUAUAUGCUAUCUUUUGUUUUUGUCCUGAAACUUCUUAGAGUCUUGGAUUUGGGAAAUACGGAGAUAGGCUAUACUUUCCCAAGUGAAUUAUGCUUGCUUGUUCAUUUGAGGUACUUGGCAGUAAAAUUUCAAGGCCGUAAGCUGAAGAUCCCAUCCUCACUUGCGAACCUUUCAAACUUGGAAACUUUACUUCUGACGGUACAUUGUUUUGACAGAGCACAUUGUUUACUGCCUGAUGCUUUGUGGAACAUGCAGAAAUUGAGGCAUCUCCAUGUGUAUGGUGCUUUCAUUGAUAUUAGGUUGGCCAAUGACAGCCUUGACAGCUCCUCCACUUUAUAUGAUUUAGCCACCUUUUCCACUCCAAAGUUUUAUCUGGGGCAAAGCAUGGUACAGAUGAUGAGAAAGUUUCCAAACGUUCGUGAACUGAAAUGCCGUUUGCUAGAAUCCGAAGAAUCUACUGGGGAGAGCAACGCCAUUGCGGAAAUGGGCUUUCUGACUCAACUAGAAUCACUAAAGCUGACUCUAGGUAAUGUGACAGCACAUCAUAUUGAAUUUCGUCUCCCCUUAAAUCUUAAACAGCUGACCCUUGAGUACUUUCCUUGGAAUAUGAUUUCCACAAUAAAAGAAAUACAUAAUCUUGAGGUUCUUAAAAUACUUCAACCAGCUGAUGGAGUAGAGGAAUGAGACAUGGAAGACAUGGAAGAAGAGGAAAUCUUCCCAAAACGCAAAUUCUUGAAAUUGGAAUCCUUGCAGACAGUCAGGUGAAGAGGCUCAGGACAUCAUUUUCCCAGUCUUGAGAAAUUAGUUUUGGAACGUUGCAAGGAAUUGAAAGAGCUGCCUUCUUGUUUAUGGGAAACAUUAACUCUUCAAUUGAUUGAGGUGCGUGGAUGUCUACGCUCUACUGGAGAUUUUGUUCGAGAUAUCAAGGAACAACAGGUGGACUACGGAAAUAAGGAUCUGAAAAUCCUUAUCUCAUGUGAAAUUGGUGUGAGUUAAGGACACUCCUCCAUGGUCCGACUGAGAUUCAAAAGGAUGAUCAGGAUAGUCAGAAAGAUAAUCUGCCAUAAGGAAUACAAACUCAGGAUCGUGAAGUUGUGUAUCAAAACAUGUAUCACAAUAGCUUUAUCAGAAACUGGUAAUACACAAUCUGAUACAAUCUUGUAUUGAUGCUUGGUCAAGUGUGUUGUGUCAUGGAAGUCGGAUGCUAUGAAGGUGAUGGUAUGUGCAUCUGGGGUACAUAUCAUGUGUUGUGCUACGCUAUUAGCUUGGACCUGUUCUGCUCCCUGAAUGAACUUUUGAGAUGCUGGUCUGUUUAAUUUGUGCUAUGAAAGGUUGUGGAGACUUGAAAGUGGGAGCUGCUUUGUAUAUGGUAAUGCUUCAUUUAUAUUGGUUUGAGCAA